This 494-nucleotide ribosomal RNA is filed under the name uncultured bacterium. RNAcentral describes it as "partial 16S ribosomal RNA". It matches the Rfam family "Bacterial small subunit ribosomal RNA", at positions 28 to 507 of the family's 1533-position model. The record is from RNAcentral.
GACGAACGCUGGCGGCGUGCUUAACACAUUCAAGUCGAACGGUGAAGCGCCUUACUUUUUGGCGGGUGUGGAUGAGUGGCGAACGGGUGAGUAACACUUGAGUAACCCGCCCCCUUCUUCUGGAUAACCGCAUGAAAGCGUGGCUACUACGGGAUAUUCUGGUUCUGUCGCAUGAUGGGUCUGGGAAAGAUAUUGUUUCGGUGGGGGAUGGGCUCGCGGCCUAUCAGUUUGUUGGUGGGCUUAUGGCCUACCAAGGCGGUGACGGGGAGACGGCCUGGGAGGGUAGUCGGUAAGACUGGGACUGAGCCACGGGGAAGACUGCUACAGGAGGGAGCAGAGGAGAAUAUCCCACAAUAGGCAGAAGACUAAUGCAGCACCGCCGCGUGGACGAUGGCGGCCCUCGGGUUGAGAACCCCUGUCGCCAGUGAAGCAAGCCCGGAUGGUUUGUGGAUGGGUUGACGGUAGCUGGAUAAGAGGCCCGGGCUAACUAGGUG